This 28-nucleotide non-coding RNA is filed under the name Homo sapiens (human). The record is from RNAcentral. Lineage: Eukaryota; Metazoa; Chordata; Mammalia; Primates; Hominidae.
UGAUAAACAACCUACCAUACUUUAUACA